CAUGGCUCAGGACGAACGCUGGCGGCGCGCCUAACACAUGCAAGUCGAACGGAGAUUACAGGCGGAAGUUUUCGGAUGGAAGCUUGUAAACUUAGUGGCGGACGGGUGAGUAACACGUGAGCAACCUGCCUAUCAGAGGGGGAUAACGAUUGGAAACGAUCGCUAAUACCGCAUGACAUAGCGGAACCGCAUGGUUCUGCUAUCAAAGAUUUUAUCGCUGAUAGAUGGGCUCGCGUCCGAUUAGAUAGUUGGUGGGGUAACGGCCUACCAAGUCGACGAUCGGUAGCCGGACUGAGAGGUCGAACGGCCACAUUGGGACUGAGACACGGCCCAGACUCCUACGGGAGGCAGCAGUGGGGGAUAUUGCACAAUGGGGGAAACCCUGAUGCAGCGACGCCGCGUGAGGGAAGACGGUCCUCUGGAUUGUAAACCUCUGUCUUCGGGGACGAAAGUAGACGGUACCCGAGGAGGAAGCCACGGCUAACUACGUGCCAGCAGCCGCGGUAAUACGUAGGUGGCAAGCGUUGUCCGGAAUUACUGGGUGUAAAGGGAGCGUAGGCGGGCAGGCAAGUCAGGCGUGAAAUAUAUCGGCUCAACCGGUAACGGCGCUUGAAACUGCAGGUCUUGAGUGAAGUAGAGGUUGGCGGAAUUCCUAGUGUAGCGGUGAAAUGCGUAGAUAUUAGGAGGAACACCAGUGGCGAAGGCGGCCAACUGGGCUUUUACUGACGCUGAGGCUCGAAAGUGUGGGGAGCAAACAGGAUUAGAUACCCUGGUAGUCCACACCGUAAACGAUGAUUACUAGGUGUGGGGGGACUGACCCCUUCCGUGCCGGAGUUAACACAAUAAGUAAUCCACCUGGGGAGUACGGCCGCAAGGUUGCAACUCAAAGGAAUUGACGG
This 899-nucleotide ribosomal RNA is filed under the name uncultured Bacteroidota bacterium. RNAcentral's name for it is "bacterial SSU rRNA". It matches the Rfam family "Bacterial small subunit ribosomal RNA", at positions 18 to 916 of the family's 1533-position model. Lineage: Bacteria; Pseudomonadati; Bacteroidota. The record is from RNAcentral.